GUUCUAGGCCCUAUCACCCUGAAGGAGCCCAAUCUCAUCUGGUCUUGGAAGCUAAGCAGGGUCGGGCCUGGUUAAUACUUGGAUGGGAGACACAUCUUCAGAACUGACUGCCAGAAACA
RNAcentral lists this ribosomal RNA (119 nucleotides) under Castor canadensis (American beaver). Lineage: Eukaryota; Metazoa; Chordata; Mammalia; Rodentia; Castoridae. The record is from RNAcentral.